GAGCUUCCUUAUAAAACAAUAAAUAUUCUUUUCUAUUUAAAAACUUCAAUAUUUAAAUCUAAAAAUUUAAAAAAAAUGACAAAAUUUUUAAACUUUACCCUAAUUUCUUUACUGUUUGGUUUAUCUCUAUUUUAUUCAAGUGUUUCAGAUGACAACUUAAUCAAUGAUGCCCAGGGAAUUUGGGAAUCUUGGGGUUCUAGACUAAAAAGAAGUGCAAAGACUGAUUGUCCAUUGUGUGGGUUAUAUUGCCAAUACGGACAUGAGACGGGAGAGGGUAUUUGCCCGCUAUGCAAAUGCAAACCUAAGCCAAUGUAUUAGUAUACAGAUGCUGCUAGCACGACAACGUUAUUCAAGAGAAACUUUUAAAUUUGAGAAAACUUUAAUUUAAUUUUAAUUAUAAGAAUUCUGGAAGAAAUUUGAAACGGUAUGUUAUUAUUCUAUAUUGUAAAAUUUGAAAUCAAUUUUAGAUUGUUGUUAAUUUUAAUUUAUAUAUAUACAUGUAUGUUUUUUUAUAUCAUAUAAAUGAUGUAAAACUUC
Molecule: long non-coding RNA, 537 nt
Organism: Gordionus sp. m RMFG-2023
Lineage: Eukaryota; Metazoa; Nematomorpha; Gordioida; Chordodea; Parachordodidae
Exons: 3
Source: RefSeq, a predicted model, not a curated record